UUAUGAUGCAAGUCUCAAGCUGAGGCUAUUAUAUAAACAGUUUUAUGGUAAUAUGGCUAUAUUGUCUCUUCUGAGUAUCACAAAAUUGUACCAAGCGGAUCAGUUCGUAGCUGGAUUCUUCACCAAUCUUCCAUACCUUCUCCCGAACACACAUGUCGCUCGGUUCUCCAAUUCUAUGAGUUGGAAGAAUUUCCUUUGUCUCUCUAUGGGCCAUGUGGUAGGAGAUUCUCCUCUUAGGGUUUUUACAACCCUUUCACACAGGGCCUGGGUUGGGGGGAAGGUAGGUUGGGUGGUGGUGCAAAAGGGAGGGGGUCAACAGUCCUCCCUGUACCAAAAGAGGCCAACGUCAUGACAAUGGGGAGGGGGAGAAGAGGAGAGGGGGAGAAGAGGAGAGGAGGAGAUGAGAGGGGGAGAAGAGAGGGGGAGAGGAGAGGGGGGAGGAGGGAGGGGGAGAAGAGGAGAGGGUUGGAGAAGAUGAGAGGAGAGGGGAGAGGUGUAGAAGAGGAGAGGGGGAGAAGAGAAGGAGAGGGGGAGAAGAGGAGAAGAAAGGGGAGGAGAGGAGAAGAAAGGGGGAGGAGAGAGAGAAUAGAGUGUCGAAAGAGGAGAAGGGGAGAAGAGGAGAGGAGGGAGAAGAGAGGUGGAGAACAGGAGAGGGUGAGAAGUUUAAAGGGAGAGAAGUGGAGAGGGGCAGAAGAGGAGAGGGGCAGAAGAGUAGAGGGGCAGAAGAGUAAAGGGGGAGAAGAGGAGAGGGGGAGAAGAGGAGAGGGGAGGAAAGGGGAGGGGGAGAAGAGUAGAGGGGGAGAAGAGUAGAGGGGGAAAAGAGGAGAGGGGCAGAAUGUGAAAGAGGAGAGGAGAGGAGAGGGAGAAGAGAAGAGGAGAAGAGAGGGGGAGAAGAGAGGGGGAGAAGAGAUAGGAAGAAGAGGAGAGGGGAAGGGAGAGGAGAGGAGAAGAGAAGUGAGGAGAGGAGAGGAUAGGAGGGGGUAAAAGGGGGGAGAAGAGAAGAGUAGAGGGGGAGAAAAGCAGAGGGGGAGAAGAGGAGAGGAGGGGAGAAGAGGAGAUGGGGAGGAAAGGAGAGGGUGAGAAGAGUAGAGGGGGAGAAGAGGAGAGGGGCAGAAUGUGGGAGAGGAGAGGAGAGGAGAGGGAGAAGAGAAGAGGAGAAGAGAAGAGGAGAAGAGAGGGGGAGAAGAGAGGGGGAGAAGAGAGAGGAAGAAGAGGAGAGGGGAAGGGAGAGGAGAGGAGAAGAGAAGUGAGGAGAGGAGAGGAGAGGAGGGGGGAAAAGGGGGGAGAAGAGAAGAGUAGAGGGGGAGAAAAGCAGAGGGGGAGAAGAGGAGAGGAGAGAAGUGGAGAGGGGAGAAAAGGAGAGGGGGAGGAAAGGAGAGGGAGAGAAGAGUAGAGGGGGAGAAGAGGAGAGGGGCAGAAUGUGGGAGAGGAGAGGAGAGGAGAGGGAGAAGAGAAGAGGAGAAGAGAGAGGAAGAAAGGGAGAGGGGAAGGGAGAGGAGAGGAGAAGGGAAGUGAGGAGAGGAGAGGAGAGGAGAGGAGGGGGGGAAAGGGGGGAGAAGAGAAGAGUAGAGGUGGAGAAAAGUAAAAUGGAGGGGCAGAAGAUGAGAGGAGAGGGGGAGAAGAGAAGAGGGGAGAAGAGCAGAGGGGGAGAAGAGGAGAGGGGAGAAGUGUAGAGGGGGAUGGAGAGGAGAGGAGAGGAGAGGGGGAGAAGACGAGAGGGGGAGAUGAGGAGAGGAGAGAGGGAGAAGACGAGAGGGGGACAAGAGAAAAAGAGAGGGGAAGAAGACGAGAAGAGAGAGGUAGAAGGUGGGAGAAGGGGAGAAGAGAGGGGGAGAAGAGAGGAAGAAGAAGAGACUGGGAGAAGACGAGAGGGGCAGAAGAGGAGAAGAGAGGGGGAGAAGACGAGACGGGGAGAAGAGGAGAAGUAAGGGGGGAGAAGGUGGGAGAAUAGGAGUGGGGGAGAAGAUGAGAAGAGAGGGGAGAAGAGAGACUGGGAGGGAAGAGGAGAUGGGGAGAAGGGAAGAGGAGAGGGGCAGAAGAGGAUAAGCGAGGGGGAGAAGACGAGAGGAGGACUAGAGAAGAGGAGAGGAAGGAGGAGGAGAAGAGAGGGGGAGAAGAGGAGAGGAAGGGGGAGCAGAGUCGAGGGGAGAAGAGGAGAAGAGAGUGAGAGAAGAAGGGGGAGAUGAGAGGGGGGAGAAGAGGACAUGGGGAGAAGAGCAGAGGGGGAGAAGAGGAGAGGUGGGAGGGGAGGGGAAGAAGAAGAUGAGAGGGGGAGAUGAGGAAAGGGAGAGAAGAGAGGGAGAGAAGGGGGAGAGAAGAGGAGAGGGGAGUGGGAGAGGAGAGUCGGAAGGACAGGAGAGGGGAGGGGAGAGGGGAGAGUGGCAGAAGGGGAGAAGAGGAGAGGAGAGGGGAGGGGAGGACAGGAGAGGGGAGAAGUGUAGAGGGGGAGGAAAGGAGAGGGGGAGAAGAGGAGAGGGGGAGAAGGUGGGAUGAGAGGAGAGGAGAGGAGGGGCGAGAGGGGGAGAGAAGAGGAGAGGGGAGUGGGAGAGGAGAGGAGAGUCGGAAGGACAGGAGAGGGGAGGGGGAGGACAGGAGAGGGGAGAAGUGUAGAGGGGGAGGAAAGGAGAGGGGGAGAAGAGGAGAGGGGGAGAAGAUGGGUGGAGGGAGGAGAAGAGAGGGGAAGAAGAGAGACUGGGAGAAGAGGAGAGGCAGGGGGAGGAGAAGAGGAGAGCGGCAGAAGAGGAUAAGAGAGGGGAGAAGAGGAGAAGAGAGGGGGAGAAGACGAGAGAGGGGGAGAAGACGAGAGGGUGAGAAGAGGAGAGGAAGGGGAGGAGAAGAGAAGAGAGUGAGAGAAGAGGGGGGAGAUGAGAGGGGAGAAGAGCAGAGUGGGAGAAGAGCAGAGUGGGAGAAGAGGAGAGGGGGAGAAGAGAGGGGAGAAGAGGGGGGAGAAGAGCAGAGGUGGGAGGGGAGGGGAAGAAGAUGAGAGGGGGAGAUGAGGAAAGAGAGAGAAGAGACGAGGGGGAGAAAAGGAGAAGAGAGGGGGAGAAGAGAGACUGGGAGAAGAAGAGAGGGAGAGAAGGGGGAAAGAAGAGGAGAGAGAGAGAGGAGAGGAGAGGAGAGGAGAGUCGGAAGGACAGGAGAGGGGAGGGGCGAGGGGCAGAAGGGGAGAAGAGGAGAGGAGAGGGUGAGAAGAGAAGGAGAAGGGGAGAGAAGAGGAGAGGGAGGGGAAGAAGCGGGGUGGGAGAAGAGAGGGGGAGAAGGGGAGAGGGGGGGAAGAGAAGAGGAGAGGGGGAGAAGGGGAGAAGAGAGGGGAGAAGAGGAGAAGAGAGGGGGGAAGAGAAGAGGAGAAGGGGAGAAGGGGAGAAGAGAGGGGGAGAAGAGGAGAAGAGAGGGGGAAGAGAAGAGGAGAAGGGGAGAGGAGAGGGUGAGAAAAGGAGAAGAGAGGGGGAGAAGGGGGUAGAAAAGGAGAGGGUGGAGAAGAGGAGAGGGGCAGAAGACGACAGGGGGAGAAGAGGAGAGGGUGAGAAGAGAAGGAGAGGGGGAGAAGAGGAGAAGAGAGGGGGAGAAGAGGAGAAGAGAGGGGGAAGAGAGGGGGAGAAGAGGAGAAGAGAGGGGGAAGAGAAGAGGAGAAGGGGAGAGG
This 3640-nucleotide long non-coding RNA is filed under the name Salmo salar (Atlantic salmon). Its description in RNAcentral is "lncRNA (ENSSSAG00000107681.1)". Lineage: Eukaryota; Metazoa; Chordata; Actinopteri; Salmoniformes; Salmonidae. The record is from RNAcentral.